This 432-nucleotide ribosomal RNA is filed under the name uncultured bacterium. RNAcentral's name for it is "partial 16S ribosomal RNA". It matches the Rfam family "Bacterial small subunit ribosomal RNA", at positions 29 to 507 of the family's 1533-position model. The record is from RNAcentral.
AACGAACGCUGGCGGCAUGCCUAACACAUGCAAGUCGAACGAGACCUUCGGGUCUAGUGGCGCACGGGUGCGUAACGCGUGGGAACCUGCCCUUAGGUUCGGAAUAACUCCCCGAAAGGGGUGCUAAUACCGGAUAAUGUCUUCGGACCAAAGAUUUAUCGCCUUUGGAUGGGCCCGCGUUGGAUUAGCUAGUUGGUAGGGUAAAAGCCUACCAAGGCGACGAUCCAUAGCUGGUCUGAGAGGAUGAUCAGCCACACUGGGACUGAGACACGGCCCAGACUCCUCCGGAAGGAGGCAGUGGGGAUUAUUGGACAAGGGGCGAAAGCCUGAUCCAGCAUGGCCGCGUGAGUGAUGAGGGCCUUGGGGUGGUAAGCUCUUUUACCCGGGAUGAUAAUGACAGUACCGGGAGAAUAAGCUCCGGCUAACUCCGUG